GGUCAUUGUAGCUCAGUGGUAAAGCAUCUGCUUGGCAUGCAGAAGGUGCCAGGUUCAAUCCCUGGCAUCUCCA
This is a non-coding RNA of Sphaerodactylus townsendi, 73 nucleotides long. NCBI's taxonomy places the organism in Eukaryota, Metazoa, Chordata, Lepidosauria, Squamata, Sphaerodactylidae. The record is from the annotation of a RefSeq genome assembly.